Molecule: unclassified non-coding RNA, 348 nt
Filed under: soil metagenome
Description: partial contains 5.8S ribosomal RNA, internal transcribed spacer 2, and large subunit ribosomal RNA
Rfam family: 5.8S ribosomal RNA (bases 1-120)
Source: RNAcentral
GAUGAAGAACGCAGCAAAAUGCGAUAAGUAAUGUGAAUUGCAGAAUUCAGUGAAUCAUCGAAUCUUUGAACGCACAUUGCGCCCGCUGGUAUUCCGGCGGGCAUGCCUGUUCGAGCGUCAUUUCAACCCUCAAGCCCCCGAGUUUGGUGUUGGGGAUCGGCUCUGCCCUUCUGGGCGGUGCCGCCCCCGAAAUACAUUGGCGGUCUCGCUGCAGCCUCCAUUGCGUAGUAGCUAACACCUCGCAACUGGAACGCGGCGCGGCCAUGCCGUAAAACCCCAACUUCUGAAUGUUGACCUCGGAUCAGGUAGGAAUACCCGCUGAACUUAAGCAUAUCAAUAAGCGGAGGA